AUGACUACUUGGCCUAUUCGAAUCCACGACCACCCACCUCUGUACAAAAAUUGUGUUCCUGAUAAAAAAAUGUUACUUGCACGAAAGCAAGCACACAGUCAAGGAUAUAUGGUAAAAUCAAAUUACCUCUUUGGACAGGAUGUUCAGCCUCAUGAUCUCUUCUAUAUCUACAGCCUCUCUGCAAAAACGGAAAACCAAAUUAGCAAUUUGGGAGGAACACGACCAGGUGAAACGUAUGGUGAUGUUGACUGGAAGUUUGGAGCAGAAAUCAUUAGGAUUGAGGUUUCUCACCUCCUACCGUGCAAUCCCCACCUACACACAUGGAACUAA
This 330-nucleotide ribosomal RNA is filed under the name Triticum aestivum (bread wheat). RNAcentral describes it as "partial small subunit ribosomal RNA". The record is from RNAcentral. Lineage: Eukaryota; Viridiplantae; Streptophyta; Magnoliopsida; Poales; Poaceae.